CAGCGCAUCCUUGUUUGGCCAUGAGCAGCAAAACCAUGUGACUUCGGGCUCAAACGAGAACUGUGUGGUAGUGCGCCUGGGUGAGGAGCCGGAGUCAUCAGUCUGCCUCUUUCUGAGCCAAGCUGACAGCCGCAGGCCUGGGAAAGGAAGGCCCAGUUUCAAUUGCUUCCCAGUCCUGGUUACCUUGGUGGCGGGAAGGGUGGGCUUUGGGUGCCGCUCUGUGGAAAUAUUCCUGGGCGCUUUGCCUAAAUAACAAUGACCAAGCAAGGUCCCUGAGUUUUCAAGGAGGAAAGGAGAAGAAAGAGAACCAUAUGGUAUUUGGUCCGCUCAACUGGAGAGGAGAGGACAAGCGUCUUAUAAAAGAGAUGGGACAGCACAGAAGCUCACAUACUUCCCGUGAGGGAUGCUGAGAUGCCACAGGAUGCAGUGAUUCGCCUGGGACUUGCAAAAAGGAGAGGCCUUGCAGACAGACAGGGGGAGCUCGGCUGCUGGCUGCAUGUGAUCUUAGACGCGUCACAUAAGAUCAGUGAGCUUCACUCCCUCACCUGUGAGAUGGGAAUCAUCCUCAUAUGGCUAGUAUGAGGGUUAUAUAACAUACGGAAAAGGCUUCGUGCAGAGCCUGGGACACAAUAAGUGCUCAGUAAACUACAGGCGUACUCA
Long non-coding RNA from Odocoileus virginianus texanus, 660 nucleotides. RefSeq lists it as uncharacterized. The record is from RefSeq and is a predicted model, not a curated record. Lineage: Eukaryota; Metazoa; Chordata; Mammalia; Artiodactyla; Cervidae.